This 497-nucleotide ribosomal RNA is filed under the name uncultured bacterium. Its description in RNAcentral is "partial 16S ribosomal RNA". It matches the Rfam family "Bacterial small subunit ribosomal RNA", at positions 28 to 507 of the family's 1533-position model. The record is from RNAcentral.
GAUGAACGCUGGUGGCGUGCCUAAUACAUGCAAGUCGAGCGAACAGAUGAGGAGCUUGCUCCUCUGACGUUAGCGGCGGACGGGUGAGUAACACGUGGAUAACCUACCUAUAAGACUGGGAUAACUUCGGGAAACCGGAGCUAAUACCGGAUAAUAUAUUGAACCGCAUGGUUCAAUAGUGAAAGACGGUUUUGCUGUCACUUAUAGAUGGAUCCGCGCCGCAUUAGCUAGUUGGUAAGGUAACGGCUUACCAAGGCAACGAUGCGUAGCCGACCUGAGAGGGUGAUCGGCCACACUGGAACUGAGACACGGUCCAGACUCCUGCGGGAGGCAGCAGUAGGGAAUCUUCCGCAAUGGGCGAAAGCCUGACGGAGCAACGCCGCGUGAGUGAUGAAGGUCUUCGGAUCGUAAAACUCUGUUAUUGGGGAAGAACAAAUGUGUAAGUAACUAUGCACGUCUUGACGGUACCUAAUCAGAAAGCCACGGCUAACUACGUG